UGCCCCUCCGCGGGCCCCGCCAAUCAUGAGCUGGAUUUCGUGGGACGAAGGGUCGUUAUUGGACAACCGCCGCGGGCGCCCUGGUCUCUGCUACCUGUAGCUGAGGGCGCUGUUGAUGGGCAGCGCGGCGCGCCGGGAAGGCUCGUUCUCGCGAGAGUUCAGUUCCCUUCUUAGCCGUGGCUGCCUCAGCACCUCGAGGAUCGACAUGGACGGUCUCGAGGACUACGUUUGCCCGCUGGCAACCUCGGAGCUUAUACUCCUCCCAGUCACGGGUCUGGAGUGCGUGGGGGACCGGCUGUUGGCGGGUGAGGGUCCCGAUGUCCUGGUGUACAGCUUGGACUUUGGUGGGCAUCUGCGGAUGAUAAAGCGAGUACAGAACCUGCUUGGCCACUAUCUUAUCCAUGGCUUCCGGGUGCGGCCAGAGCCUAAUGGAGACUUUGACUUGGAGGCCAUGGUGGCUGUGUUUGGAAGCAAGGGACUCCGAGUUGUGAAAAUUAGCUGGGGACAGGGCCACUUCCGGGAGCUUUGGCGCUCUGGCCUGUGGAACAUGUCUGACUGGAUUUGGGAUGCACGCUGGCUUGAGGGAAAUAUAGCCUUGGCCCUGGGCCACAACUCAGUGGUCCUAUAUGAUCCUAUAGUAGGGUGCAUCCUGCAAGAGGUGCCCUGCACAGACAGGUGCACCCUCUCUUCAGCCUGCCUGAUUGGAGACGCCUGGAAGGAGCUGACCAUAGUGGCAGGUGCUGUUUCCAACCAGCUCUUGGUCUGGUACCCAGCAACUGCCUUAGCAGACAACAAACCUGUAGCACCUGACCGACGAAUCAGUGGGCACGUGGGCAUCAUCUUCAGCAUGUCAUACCUGGAAAGCAAGGGUUUGCUGGCUACAGCUUCAGAAGACCGAAGCGUUCGUAUCUGGAAGGUGGGCGACCUGCGAGUGCCUGGGGGUCGGGUGCAGAAUAUUGGGCACUGCUUUGGGCACAGCGCCCGUGUAUGGCAGGUCAAGCUCCUAGAGAAUUACCUUAUCAGUGCAGGAGAGGACUGUGUCUGCUUGGUGUGGAGCCAUGAAGGUGAGAUCCUCCAGGCCUUUCGGGGACACCAGGGACGUGGGAUCCGGGCCAUAGCUGCCCAUGAGAGGCAGGCCUGGGUGAUCACUGGGGGUGAUGACUCAGGCAUUCGGCUGUGGCACUUGGUAAGGCGUGGGUACCGGGGAUUGGGGGUCUCGGCUCUCUGCUUCAAGUCCCGUAGUAGGCCAGGUACCCUCAAGGCUGUGACGCUGGCUGGCUCUUGGCGACUGCUGGCAGUGACUGAUACAGGGGCCCUGUAUCUCUAUGACGUCGAGGUCAAGUGCUGGGAGCAACUGCUAGAGGAUAAACAUUUCCAGUCCUACUGCCUGCUGGAGGCAGCUCCUGGUCCUGAGGGCUUUGGAUUGUGUGCUAUGGCCAAUGGGGAAGGUUGUGUCAAGAUUGUCCCCAUCAACACUCCAACUGCUGCUGUGGACCAGACCCUGUUUCCUGGGAAGGUGCACAGCUUGAGCUGGGCCCUGCGUGGUUAUGAGGAGCUCCUGUUGCUGGCAUCGGGCCCUGGUGGGGUAGUAGCUUGCCUAGAGAUCUCAGCCGCACCCUCUGGCAAGGCCAUCUUUGUCAAGGAACGUUGUUGGUACCUGCUGCCCCCAAGCAAGCAGAGAUGGCACACAUGCAGUGCCUUCCUACCCCCAGGUGACUUCCUGGUGUGUGGUGACCGCCGGGGCUCUGUGCUACUGUUCCCCUCCAGACCAGGUCUGCUCAAGGACCCUGGGGUGGGAGGCAAGACUGGGGCUGGUGCUGGGGCACCUGGAGUGGGUAGUGGUAGUAGUGGGGGUGGGAAUGCUUUCACUGGGUUGAGCCCAGUGUCUACCCUGCCCUCUCUGCAUGGGAAGCAGGGUGUGACCUCAGUCACAUGCCAUGGUGGCUAUGUGUAUACCACAGGGCGCGAUGGCGCCUACUACCAGCUAUUUGUACGAGACGGCCAGCUCCAGCCAGUCCUAAGGCAGAAGUCCUGUCGAGGCAUGAACUGGCUAGCUGGGCUCCGUAUAGUGCCCGAUGGGAGCAUGGUUAUCCUGGGUUUCCAUGCCAAUGAGUUUGUGGUGUGGAGCCCGCGGUCACACGAGAAGCUGCACAUUGUCAACUGUGGUGGAGGGCACCGUUCGUGGGCAUUCUCUGAUACUGAGGCGGCCAUGGCCUUUGCUUACCUCAAGGAUGGGGAUGUCAUGCUGUACAGGGCUCUGGGUGGCUGCACUCGGCCACAUGUGAUUCUCCGGGAGGGUCUGCAUGGCCGUGAGAUCACUUGUGUAAAGCGUGUGGGCACCAUUACCCUGGGGCCUGAAUAUGGAGUGCCCAGCUUCAUGCAGCCUGACGACCUGGAGCCUGGCAGUGAGGGACCUGACUUGACUGACAUUGUGAUCACCUGUAGUGAGGACACUACUGUCUGUGUCCUAGCACUCCCUACAACAACAGGCUCAGCCCAUGCACUCACAGCUGUUUGUAACCACAUAUCUUCUGUACGUGCUGUGGCUGUAUGGGGCAUUGGCACCCCAGGUGGCCCUCAGGAUCCUCAGCCAGGCCUGACUGCCCAUGUGGUGUCUGCGGGGGGACGGGCUGAGAUGCACUGCUUCAGCAUCAUGGUUACUCCGGACCCCAGCACCCCAAGCCGCCUCGCCUGCCAUGUCAUGCACCUUUCGUCCCACCGGCUAGAUGACUAUUGGGACCGGCAACGCAAUCGGCAUCGAAUGGUCAAGGCAGACCCAGAGACCAGGUACAUGUCCCUUGCUGUGUGUGAACUUGACCAGCCCAGCCUUGGCCCCCUUGUGGCUGCAGCCUGUAGUGAUGGGGCUGUAAGGCUCUUUCUCUUGCAGGAUUCCGGGCGGAUUCUGCAGCUCCUUGCUGAAACCUUCCACCAUAAGCGAUGUGUCCUCAAGGUCCACUCCUUUACACAUGAGGCACCCAACCAGAGACGGCUGUCUUUUCCUGGCUUCCAGGAGGCUCCUCCUGUGCAGCGCAGCUACUGAUGGCAACCUGGCUUUCUGGGAUCUCACCACCGUGCUAGACCAUGGCUCCACUGUCCUGGAGCCUCCAGUGGAUCCUGGGCUUCCCUACCGGCUUGGCACCCCCUGUCUGACUCUGCAGGCCCACAGCUGUGGUAUCAACAGCCUGCACACGUUGCCCACCCGUGAGGGCCACCAUCUCGUGGCCAGUGGCAGUGAAGAUGGAUCCCUCCAUGUCUUCGUGCUUGCUGUGGAGAUGCUAGAGCUAGAAGAGGCUGUGGGAGAGGGUGGGCUGGUACCCCAGCUGCGUGUGCUAGAGGAAUACUGUGUCCCCUGUGCACAUGCUGCCCAUGUGACAGGCCUCAAGAUCCUAAGCCCAAGUAUCAUGGUCUCAGCCUCCAUUGAUCAACGGCUGACCUUCUGGCGUCUGGGGCAUGGUGAACCCACCUUCAUGAAUAGCACUGUGUACCAUGUGCCAGAUGUGGCUGACAUGGACUGCUGGCCUGUGAGCCCUGAGUUUGGCCACCGCUGUGCCCUUGGGGGUCAGGGGCUUGAGGUUUACAACUGGUAUGACUGAGGUAUCCCACGGUGGCCGGUGUGCUGGGCAUGGGGCCUGCUCGCAGACAGCAUGGAGCAGGGAUGGGCUGUCUGUGCCCAUGCUCAGCAUGCCUUGAGGGGAGGAGGUGGCGGCCGCGGGUUCCUGACAUCGGUCCAGGAACUGAAGGUGAGUGGAGUGCUGCCAAGAAUAUGCCCCACUCCCCAUGACAAGACAGAACUUUGUAACAGUACCAAUUUAUUUUGGCCGUGGGUUUUUGCUUUUUUUCCAGUUGAUGACUUUGUGAACAUUCCCAAAUAUUGGAGCCUCUGUGGCCUCAGAUGUGGCUCAGUGGAGGGAGACCCAGCAUAGCCAGGCCAGUAUGGAGCACCUCACGCACAGCCCUCAGAAGCUGCAGGCGGACGAACAUCUGACCAAAGCGGUGUGGUCGAGGCUCCUGAAAGAGAAGGGGCCUACUGGUCUCAUCCUCUGCUUCCUUUGUCUUUACCCUGUACCUCUCUGCAUGUCCCAAACCCGUUUUUGCUGUGCGCUCACCCCUAGGAUGUGUACUCGGUUGUAGUAGGAGCUGAAAUCCAUGCUGAGCUGUACCAGGAACUUGCACAUCUAGAGACAGAGACUGAGUCACUGGCCCAUCUCUUUGCUCUUGUGCCCCAGGCCAGAAUAAAGAAUAGAGUGUAGAGUGUC
Molecule: RNA transcript, 4256 nt
Organism: Macaca mulatta (Rhesus monkey)
Lineage: Eukaryota; Metazoa; Chordata; Mammalia; Primates; Cercopithecidae
Gene: WDR6
Gene name: WD repeat domain 6
Source: RefSeq, marked provisional